This is a long non-coding RNA of Neofelis nebulosa (Clouded leopard), 1933 nucleotides long. RefSeq lists it as uncharacterized. The record is from RefSeq and is a predicted model, not a curated record. The transcript is spliced from 3 exons. NCBI's taxonomy places the organism in Eukaryota, Metazoa, Chordata, Mammalia, Carnivora, Felidae.
UUGUACCUUUUGGAGAGUUAAGAAGUGCCCUCUUUUAUCUCACUAUACCCAUUUUUUUUAUGUGUUUACCUAUCUGGAGAAUCCCCCUGUAGCACCAUUGUCUGCCAUUUCCUUGGUGAAUGAAUGCCAGUUUGGAAAGCCUGGAGUCAACGAGAACCAAGUUUUACUUUACAAAUAUCUCCUCCCCGCCACUAGGAUGUGGGCCACAAGGUACCAUGAAAAAGGGGAUGAUUGAAGCUCCAGAGAUUUUUAUCUACGGAGAAAGUAAUGGCUCAAAUCUGCACAGCAACCUUAUCCUUGUUUAGUGCUCUUUCCUUGGUAGCCUCUUUUGUUUUAGCUGAAGACAGUGGUGGCUUUGGCCAUUUCGGGGAGUCACUCAGUUGUUUCGGUGUUAGAGACUGUAGUUAGAUUCUAAUAGGAUGCAUGGAAGCCAGCAAUGAGAAAGUCAUGAGCGGCUAUCAAGGAAGUCAGGGGCCAAUCCUGGCAGCACUCCACAAGAAACUGGAUCGAACCAGACAGAUCCAAGAUGGUGGGUGCCAUGACAGGAAACUCCUGAUCAGGAGUCAACUUUUUUUGUUCCUGAAGACAAUGGGAAAUUCCACCUCCAUCCCCAAAGACUCAUCCCUAAGAUGUAUCUUGUGACACUGGAACCAGCUCCCAUCAGAAAGUUUGCAAAGAAAAAUGCUUAUCUUGUUUUACAACAUGGCCUAGCCCCGAUAUAAACUAAAGAAUGGGGAAGCCUGACCAGAAAAUGGUAGUCUUCACUAUAACGCCAUAUUAUAACUUGAUCUGUUCUUAAAAGGCAGGGAGAUUGGACUGAAAUCCAAUAUGGUCAGGGCUUUCUGGCCCUGUACCAGAACCCCGAUCUUUCCAAAUUCCUUUAAGGGGCCUGAGAACACCCCUCUCCUGUCCCUCUACCCCUCAAUCCACUAUCAACUCAGCUGCCUCAGGCCCUUCUGCUUCUAUGAAUCCACUACCUAACCAGUGUUCUAUCGCUCUGUGCCUCCCUCCUUUGUCUUGCCAGCAAUCACAUCCAUGCCUACCUCUGUUUUCCCUGAGUCUCCCAUCUCCUUUUGCUUUGCUUUUCUUCUUUUCUUUUUGCUUGACAUAUAGCUUGAGAGAGCUACCUGACUCUUGUAUGUGGAGGCCUCUCAUUUAUUUUCUGGGUGAACGGCUAUGAUAAUCGGAGCCAACUGUCUUAGUCUACCUUGAGACAGGCACUUUCAGGAAUAUUCCCAACAAGCUGCUGAAACUCUUUUGUUACAGGGAGAUUCCCCGUCCAUUCUGAUCCAGCACGGACUGCCUGCUUUCACUUUUAUUGAUAGAUACUUCUGUUGAUAGGAAAAGGUACAUCCGUGGGAACCGGUGAGCUCUACAGCUGGGUAAGGCCACCGGCAGGCACAUCUUUCUCUGCCAUCUGGGCUUUUAUCCGCCUCCAGCCUUGCUGGAGAGACCUCAUUCACUGUCUCAGCCUCCGCCUCACCCUCCUCUUGUUUCUACACCCCCAUGAGGGUAGCUUGCAUGACUGGCUCCUAUACUAACUAAACAUCCUCCGUGUUUCUGGCACCAUUAACUCCUACUCCUCCUAUCCUCCCUAUUGAGGGGAAAAGAGCACCCAGAGCUGUUAGGUCACCUCCUUCUGAGGUUCAAACUAAAGCACCUUCCAAAUCAACUUGAAAGGGCCCAAGGACUCCCUGGGACUUAAACCUCCCACUUCCGGUUUCUCCACAGGAGCCCCAAGUGAAAUUGACAGUGGGGAACAAAUUGCUUGACUUUUUAGUGCAGUAUUCAAGGAUGUUGGAUUAAUUAAAAUAAACACAUCUUUAGAGAUAUCAAUAUUAAACAUAAAACUUUUAUUCUACCAAGGUUUAGUAGAGGUCAAACAAGGUCACAUGAUCUCUGUUGCAGUUUGUCGGCAAAAAGCUGACUUCAA